UGGGGAAUAUUGGACAAUGGGCGAAAGCCUGAUCCAGCAAUGCCGCGUGAGUGAUGAAGGCCUUAGGGUUGUAAAGCUCUUUUACCCGGGAUGAUAAUGACAGUACCGGGAGAAUAAGCCCCGGCUAACUACGUGCCAGCAGCCGCGGUAAUACGUAGGUGGCAAGCGUUGUCCGGAUUUAUUGGGUUUAAAGGGUGCGUAGGCGGUCUUGUAAGUCAGUUCUGAAAUAUCCCGGCUUAACCGGGAGGGUGGGAUUGAUACUGCAGGACUUGAGUGGAGUCGAGGUAGGCGGAAUUGACGGUGUAGCGGUGAAAUGCUUAGAUAUCGUCAAGAACACCGAUAGUGUAGACAGCUUACUAGUCUCAAACUGACGCUGAGGCACGAAAGUGUGGGGAUCAAA
This 400-nucleotide ribosomal RNA is filed under the name uncultured bacterium. Its description in RNAcentral is "bacterial SSU rRNA". It matches the Rfam family "Bacterial small subunit ribosomal RNA", at positions 355 to 772 of the family's 1533-position model. The record is from RNAcentral.